Long non-coding RNA from Phycodurus eques (leafy seadragon), 433 nucleotides. RefSeq lists it as uncharacterized. NCBI's taxonomy places the organism in Eukaryota, Metazoa, Chordata, Actinopteri, Syngnathiformes, Syngnathidae. The record is from RefSeq and is a predicted model, not a curated record. The transcript is spliced from 3 exons.
UGGGUCGCAAGCCACUUUGGUUUAAGAAAGUCAUUGAAUAAAGCUUCGUUUCUGAAUAUGUAUUUUUAUUAUUUGCUAAAUAAUGUACUGUGUGCUCCUGUUACAUUUGCUCAUUGGGGAUACAAUAUUAUCCUAUCUUAAAUCAUGUUUAAUGGUGGUUCUUAUUCUGCUGUUGAGGAAUUUUCGUUACUUGUUACAACUGAGUCGUAAUAAAAAGUACGUUAUUUUUUUUUUGCAGGUCAGCGGUGCACCGUCGGUGGUGAGCAUCAGCCUCCUACCUGUUGGACUGAUAUUAAGACAGAACUUUUCCGAGCUGGUGCCGGGCCCAGUUCGCCAUCCUCCGCGACCUUCGCCAGCGAAUUCAAACACAAAGAGGAGGAAACGCGGGAACAUGUCCACCGCCGCGCCUUACGUCAAAAAACCCCCGAACGCA